CCUGGAGAUCGAGCAUAGACAUCAGGGGGGUGUCCAAAGACUUCGAGAAACUUAGACUUCAAUCUAUCGAAUCUAAGCUGAGCUUCUUCGAGCGGAGAGCCGUCUCCGUAAACAUUCCAAAGAAGAGUAAAUCGGGAUUGGAAGCUCCUCGUGUUUGGCCAUUGAUAAGCUCUGGUUAUGGAGGAAAAGGAUCACAGUAUCAAAACCAAAAGGAAUGAAAUUGCGGUGGAGAGAAUUCUAGCUUUUG
RNAcentral lists this unclassified non-coding RNA (247 nucleotides) under Hevea brasiliensis (rubber tree). Lineage: Eukaryota; Viridiplantae; Streptophyta; Magnoliopsida; Malpighiales; Euphorbiaceae. The record is from RNAcentral.